GUCUAACCUGCCCACUGAAAAUUUAAAUGGCCGCAGUAUUUUAACUGUGCAAAGGUAGCAUAAUCAUUAGUCUUUUAAUUGAGGGCUGGAAUGAAUGGUUGAAUGAGAUAUUAACUGUUUCAAUAUAAUUUUUAGAAUUUUAUAUUUUAGUGAAAAAGCUAAAAUUUUUUUAAAAGACGAGAAGACCCUAUAAAUCUUUAUAUUUUUUGAUUUAUAUAUGUAUAGAUAAUUUUAUUUAUAAUUCUAAAAAUUAUUUUAUUGGGGUGAUAUUAAAAUUUAAUAAACUUUUAAUGUAUAAUAUCCAUUAAUGCAUGAAUUAUUGAUCCAUAAUUAAUGAUUAAAAAAUUAAGUUACUUUAGGGAUAACAGCGUAAUUUUUUUGGAGAGUUCUUAUUAAUAAAAAAGAUUGCGACCUCGAUGUUGGAUUAAGAUAUAGAUUUAGGUGUAGUGGCUUAAAUUUU
Molecule: ribosomal RNA, 460 nt
Filed under: Phora occidentata
Lineage: Eukaryota; Metazoa; Arthropoda; Insecta; Diptera; Phoridae
Description: partial 16S ribosomal RNA
Rfam family: Archaeal large subunit ribosomal RNA (bases 1-163)
Source: RNAcentral